AGUGAACGCUGGCGGUAGGCCUAACACAUGCAAGUCGAACGGCAGCACAGUAAGAGCUUGCUCUUACGGGUGGCGAGUGGCGGACGGGUGAGGAAUACAUCGGAAUCUACUUUUUCGUGGGGGAUAACGUAGGGAAACUUACGCUAAUACCGCAUACGACCUACGGGUGAAAGCAGGGGAUCUUCGGACCUUGCGCGAUUGAAUGAGCCGAUGUCGGAUUAGCUAGUUGGCGGGGUAAAGGCCCACCAAGGCGACGAUCCGUAGCUGGUCUGAGAGGAUGAUCAGCCACACUGGAACUGAGACACGGUCCAGACUCCUACGGGAGGCAGCAGUGGGGAAUAUUGGACAAUGGGCGCAAGCCUGAUCCAGCCAUACCGCGUGGGUGAAGAAGGCCUUCGGGUUGUAAAGCCCUUUUGUUGGGAGAGAAAAGCAGCAGGUUAAUACCCCGCUGUUCUACGGUACCCAAAGAAUAAGCACCGGCUAACUUCGUG
This 491-nucleotide ribosomal RNA is filed under the name uncultured bacterium. Its description in RNAcentral is "partial 16S ribosomal RNA". It matches the Rfam family "Bacterial small subunit ribosomal RNA", at positions 29 to 507 of the family's 1533-position model. The record is from RNAcentral.